AUUGAACGCUGGCGGCAUGCUUUACACAUGCAAGUCGAACGGUAACAGGGAGCUUGCUCCGCUGACGAGUGGCGAACGGGUGAGUAAUAUAUCGGAACGUGCCCAAGAGUGGGGGAUAACGUAGCGAAAGUUACGCUAAUACCGCAUACGAUCCAAGGAUGAAAGCAGGGGACCUUCGGGCCUUGUGCUCCUGGAGCGGCCGAUAUCUGAUUAGCUAGUUGGUGAGGUAAAGGCUCACCAAGGCGACGAUCAGUAGCUGGUCUGAGAGGACGACCAGCCACACUGGAACUGAGACACGGUCCAGACUCCUACGGGAGGCAGCAGUGGGGAAUUUUGGACAAUGGGGGCAACCCUGAUCCAGCAAUGCCGCGUGAGUGAAGAAGGCCUUCGGGUUGUAAAGCUCUUUUGUCAGGGAAGAAAAGGGUACGGCUAAUAUCCGUGCCUCAUGACGGUACCUGAAGAAUAAGCACCGGCUAACUACGUGCCAGCCGCCGCCGUAA
RNAcentral lists this ribosomal RNA (500 nucleotides) under uncultured bacterium. RNAcentral's name for it is "partial 16S ribosomal RNA". It matches the Rfam family "Bacterial small subunit ribosomal RNA", at positions 30 to 523 of the family's 1533-position model. The record is from RNAcentral.